Molecule: long non-coding RNA, 585 nt
Organism: Archocentrus centrarchus (flier cichlid)
Lineage: Eukaryota; Metazoa; Chordata; Actinopteri; Cichliformes; Cichlidae
Exons: 3
Source: RefSeq, a predicted model, not a curated record
UCCCAGACCUCGCGCGGAGUUUAGAUAUUGUACACACAGCGGUGGCGGGAGAUCGGGAAGAUGUCGACCAUGGGCGUGAAAGUGUUCUGAAGGGCCUUUGUGUGUACCUCAAUGAAGACCCCGAACAUCUGAUACGACAGCAUGUAGGAGUAAGUGAUACAGCCUUUGAAGAAUCAGUUGAGGAAACUACUGUGGGGAUCUUCACGGUGAAACAACAGGAGGCGCAGCCUACUCCAGACGAUGUAGGAAUUAUCCUGGAAGGCCAAAUUGUUAUCCAGGAUUUAGACAAUGUUCCUCUGGCUGUUGCACUACUGUUUGGCCUCCUGUAUGCUCUAAAUAUGGAUUAUCCUCAUUAACUCAGGUAUACCUUUGAAGUGAUCCAGAAACUGAUCAUGGAGCUAGAUGGUGGCACACUUUCAAAGAAAGUCCAGGUCCUGAAGAAUAGACUCAAUGAGUAAUGCUGGCCAGUGAGCAUGACCAGCUUAUUUGAGGACUUGUCCAUUUAAGUUGCUUUUCAUUGUUCUCAUGUUGUUGUAAACAAACUUUUAAAUAUGCUUAGUUACUUAAAAAAAAAAGGCGUUCUGU